Molecule: ribosomal RNA, 483 nt
Filed under: uncultured bacterium
Lineage: Bacteria
Description: bacterial SSU rRNA
Rfam family: Bacterial small subunit ribosomal RNA
Source: RNAcentral
GAUGAACGCUAGCGGCAGGCUUAACACAUGCAAGUCGAGGGGUAUAGUUCUUCGGAAUUAGAGACCGGCGCACGGGUGCGUAACGCGUAUGCAAUCUACCUUUCACAGAGGGAUAGCCCCAGAGAAAUUUGGAUUAAUACCUCAUAGUAUAGCAGUUUCGCAUGAAACCACUAUUAAAGUCACAACGGUGAAAGAUGAGCAUGCGUCCCAUUAGCUAGUUGGUAAGGUAACGGCUUACCAUGGCAAUGAUGGGUAGGGGUCCUGAGAGGGAGAUCCCCCACACUGGUACUGAGACACGGACCAGACUCCUACGGGAGGCAGCAGUGAGGAAUAUUGGACAAUGGGCGCAAGCCUGAUCCAGCCAUGCCGCGUGCAGGAUGACGGUCCUAUGGAUUGUAAACUGCUUUUGUACAGGAAGAACACUACUUCGUGAAGUAGCUUGACGGUACUGUAAGAAUAAGGACCGGGCUAACUCCGUGCCAG